GUCUGAAUAGCUCAAUAGUAAGAGCAGUUGCCCGGAAAGCAAAAGACUUGGAUUCGAUUCCUGAUUCAACCA
Molecule: transfer RNA, 72 nt
Organism: Lasius niger
Lineage: Eukaryota; Metazoa; Arthropoda; Insecta; Hymenoptera; Formicidae
Rfam family: tRNA
About the family: Transfer RNA (tRNA) molecules are approximately 80 nucleotides in length. Their secondary structure includes four short double-helical elements and three loops (D, anti-codon, and T loops).
Source: Rfam